UACGAAGGGGGCUAGCGUUGUUCGGAAUCACUGGGCGUAAAGGGCGCGUAGGCGGCCGAUCAAGUCGGGGGUGAAAGCCUGUGGCUCAACCACAGAAUUGCCUUCGAUACUGUUUGGCUUGAGACCGGAAGAGGUAAGUGGAACUGCGAGUGUAGAGGUGAAAUUCGUAGAUAUUGGGAAGAACACCGAUGGCGAAGGCAGCCAUCUGGACCGACACUGACGCUGAGGCGCGAAAGCGUGGGGAGCAAACAGG
Molecule: ribosomal RNA, 253 nt
Filed under: uncultured bacterium
Lineage: Bacteria
Description: partial 16S ribosomal RNA
Rfam family: Bacterial small subunit ribosomal RNA
Source: RNAcentral